RNAcentral lists this ribosomal RNA (421 nucleotides) under Toledonia globosa. Its description in RNAcentral is "partial 16S ribosomal RNA". It matches the Rfam family "Archaeal large subunit ribosomal RNA", at positions 1888 to 2654 of the family's 2987-position model. Lineage: Eukaryota; Metazoa; Mollusca; Gastropoda; Cephalaspidea; Diaphanidae. The record is from RNAcentral.
UCGCCUGUUUUAUCCAAAAACAUAGCCCUAAGAAAUUAAUUUAGGGUAAGGCCUGCCCAAUGAAUUUUUAAAUGGCCGCGGUACUUUGACCGUGCUAAGGUAGCAUAAUCAGUUGACUUUUAAAUGAAGUCUGGAAUGAAAGGGAGAACGGAAUUUAGCUGUCUCAAGUACUUUAUCUCGAAGUUACUAACUAGGUGAAAAGGCCUAGGAAAGAUAAAAGACGAGAAGACCCUAAGAGUUUUCAAAUUUUUUCGUUGGGGCGACGAGGAGUCAUUUAACACUCUAAUUAAUAAUAUAACGGAUUUUUCAUAAAUAGAUAAACUACCUUAGGGAUAACAGCAUAAUCCUUUUGGGUUUGUGACCUCGAUGUUGGACUAGGAAGCUUUUAGGCUAGCCGCCUACAAAGGAGAUUCUGUUCGAA